CAAGCGCCUAGUAUAAAGUGUUCACAAAGGUUACAUACAGAUGCAGGUGGAUUCGUAGCGUCGGCCACAGGUAAAUUAGUAACUAGUGGAAAGUGAAGGGGAAAGAUAAACUCACAAGGGAUUUCAUCUUAUGCAGCACCAUAUCUACAAGGUAAAUUAACCACACCACGUUGGUCUUUGGGAAGCUGCAAUACAAGAAGUAGAGAAUCAGUAACAGUUUAGCGAUCAUGUUUUGCAGAUGGAAAAUAGUUCCUGAGGCAUUUCAAAAUUCUUGUUCUGAGUAAUUAUUUUUACCAGUCUAUUUAUCAAGCUUGGGGAAAUCUUACUUAAUGUUCAUGCACAAUUAGCAUUUUUUCAUGUCACAGAUUAUAGUGGAAACCCAACUUGGCAUGUGCAACAGAAGAGGACUGUUGAGUUACCUGCCCUCCCAGUGUUCCUGGGAUCCGCAGACAGGUCUAGAAAGAGAAUGGCAGUCCCUGGAGAAUAACAUUGUGAAGAACCAUGAGGUCAAGGAACAUAAGAGAGGCAAAAUGUUACAGUGAUGUACAAUUUUUUUUUCAAAUGACUGGUAAUCACUUAUGCACUAGGAAAAACUGACUUUCAAAAGGUCAUUGAUGCUGAUUGUGUGAGGUGCAAACUUCAAUAGAUGUCUCAUGAAUCUA
Molecule: long non-coding RNA, 662 nt
Organism: Panicum virgatum (switchgrass)
Lineage: Eukaryota; Viridiplantae; Streptophyta; Magnoliopsida; Poales; Poaceae
Exons: 2
Source: RefSeq, a predicted model, not a curated record